UGAGAUAGAGGAUGCGUCCGGUCAAUAGUAAUAUGUCUUAUGCUGUGCAGGGCAGGGCAUACGAAAGGGACUGACGCCGAAGAGAGGAAGGGCUGCAUCCCGACCGAUCUGGGCGGACGGAAUAAUAUCCGUACGACUGUCGCGAUUACGCGGAGCGCUAUCC
Molecule: non-coding RNA, 163 nt
Filed under: bovine gut metagenome
Description: Lysine riboswitch
Rfam family: Lysine riboswitch aptamer
About the family: Riboswitches are metabolite binding domains within certain messenger RNAs that serve as precision sensors for their corresponding targets. Allosteric rearrangement of mRNA structure is mediated by ligand binding, and this results in modulation of gene expression.
Source: RNAcentral